AGAGGUCCGAUUAACAACAAGGUUCAACUCCUCAAUCUUAAUCGACCCUUUGUACCCGCAGGCAGCAAAGCUAAUGAAUUGUGCAAAGGACAACAAGCAGAUGCUAAUUGAAUGCACUCUCAAAAGUACAUCAGAAUCGUCUUCGACACUAAAUGUUGCACCUUUUGAAGAUGAAAUAGUUCCCAUUUCAAGCAUUCCUUCACAGUCGACCGUGAGUAUAUUAAAACAUAUGACUCGGGCUUCGCAUCGAUUGUUCUUUUGCUUCUAUAUCGGAUUAGAAAUAGCCUCUUGCGAGUUAUUCUAUGUCGUAAUUACGAAGUAGUAUCUUCUUAUUAUUUUCUCAACAGGCACAGUUUCUAUGUUGAAGGAGAAAUAUCAUUGCCAAGUGAAUUCCAAUUUUUCUUCGUACUUUUAUGAUUUGAGUGCCAAUAUCUAGCACGAAUCAAGUGCAAAAAGAAAGUUCUCUCUAUCCACUGAAAACUAGAGAGAAUGUUGAUUCCAAGAUGUGAAUUUGAAGUUGACAUCACGGACGGGAGCGGAACAAUAACAUUAGUAGUGUAAGAUAAACUAGCUGAAAGAAUGCUUUCACUGACAGCAGACCA
Long non-coding RNA from Nicotiana attenuata, 602 nucleotides. RefSeq lists it as uncharacterized. The record is from RefSeq and is a predicted model, not a curated record. NCBI's taxonomy places the organism in Eukaryota, Viridiplantae, Streptophyta, Magnoliopsida, Solanales, Solanaceae. The transcript is spliced from 3 exons.